This 218-nucleotide long non-coding RNA is filed under the name Elaeis guineensis (African oil palm). RNAcentral describes it as "long non-coding RNA (EGUI_LNC066748)". The record is from RNAcentral. Lineage: Eukaryota; Viridiplantae; Streptophyta; Magnoliopsida; Arecales; Arecaceae.
CAGAUAGUACCUAAAUAGAUUGUAGAUAGAUACGGAAAAUAAAGGUAAAGGACUAACAAACAUUCAGACACAAUGAACAGACUGAUGGAAAUCUAAAGACAACCUAAGUGCAUGAGAUAUAAAUCUAAACUAAGGCAAAGGCUAAUGGAAGGUUAAGGCUAACCGAUGAACUAAAGUGUAACCUAGACUAAUAUAAGAAAAUAUAAACUAAAAUAUAG